This 465-nucleotide ribosomal RNA is filed under the name Vreelandella stevensii. RNAcentral's name for it is "partial 16S ribosomal RNA". It matches the Rfam family "Bacterial small subunit ribosomal RNA", at positions 338 to 795 of the family's 1533-position model. Lineage: Bacteria; Pseudomonadati; Pseudomonadota; Gammaproteobacteria; Oceanospirillales; Halomonadaceae. The record is from RNAcentral.
CCUACGGUGGGCAGCAGUGGGGAAUAUUGGACAAUGGGCGAAAGCCUGAUCCAGCCAUGCCGCGUGUGUGAAGAAGGCCUUCGGGUUGUAAAGCACUUUCAGUGGGGAAGAAAGCCUUGGGGCUAAUACCCUCGAGGAAGGACAUCACCCACAGAAGAAGCACCGGCUAACUCCGUGCCAGCAGCCGCGGUAAUACGGAGGGUGCGAGCGUUAAUCGAAAUUACUGGGCGUAAAGCGCGCGUAGGCGGUCUGAUAAGCCGGUUGUGAAAGCCCCGGGCUCAACCUGGGAACGGCAUCCGGAACUGUCAGGCUAGAGUGCAGGAGAGGAAGGUAGAAUUCCCGGUGUAGCGGUGAAAUGCGUAGAGAUCGGGAGGAAUACCAGUGGCGAAGGCGGCCUUCAGGACUGACACUGACGCUGAGGUGCGAAAGCGUGGGUAGCAAACAGGAUUAGAUACCCCAGUAGUC